RNAcentral lists this ribosomal RNA (315 nucleotides) under uncultured bacterium. RNAcentral's name for it is "bacterial SSU rRNA". It matches the Rfam family "Bacterial small subunit ribosomal RNA", at positions 28 to 334 of the family's 1533-position model. The record is from RNAcentral.
GGCGAACGCUGGCGGCGUGCUUAACACAUGCAAGUCGAACGAGGUUAUGGAGGAGCUUGCUCCGAAGUAACCGAGUGGCGGACGGGUGAGCAACGCGUGAGGAACCUGUCUCACACAGGGGGAUAACGCACCGAAAGGUGUGCUAAUACCGCAUAAGACCACGGUACCGUAUGGUACAGGGGUCAAAGGAGCAAUCCGGUGUGAGGUGGCCUCGCGUCUGAUUAGGUAGUUGGUGAGGUAACGGCCCACCAAGCCGACGAUCAGUAGCCGACCUGAGAGGGUGAUCGGCCACAUUGGAACUGAGACACGGUCCAA